RNAcentral lists this non-coding RNA (30 nucleotides) under Mus musculus (house mouse). The record is from RNAcentral. Lineage: Eukaryota; Metazoa; Chordata; Mammalia; Rodentia; Muridae.
UGUCCAGAGAAACGGAAGAUGAUGAUUCCC